GGUCCGAAAGAUUCUAAACCUGCGUGUAUUUGAGGAUGAGAGUGGGAAGCACUGGUCGAAGAGUGUGAUGGACAAACAGUACGAGAUUUCUGUGUGUCAGCCCAGUUUACCCUCCAGUGUGUCCUGAAGGGAAAACAAGCCUGAUUUCCACCUAGCAAUUGCCCCACGGAGCAGGCAUGAGGGCUUCUACAAACAGCUUCCUGGAGCAGCUGCGUAAACAUACAGUCCGGAGCUUAUCAAAAUGGCAAGUUUGGGGCCUACAUGCAGGUGCACAUUCAGAAUGAUGGGCCUGUGACCAUAGAGCUGGAAUCGCCAGCUCCCGGCACUGCUACCUCUGACCCAAAGCAGACGGAUUCUCGCUCUGUCUCCCAGGCUGGAGUGCAGUGGCGCGAUCUCCGUUCAUUGCAAGCUCCACCUCCCGGGUUCAUGCCAUUCUUCUGCCUAAGCCUCCCAAGUAGCUGGGACUAUAGGCACGUGCCAACAUGCCCGGCUAAUUUUUUUUGUAUUUUUUUAGUAGAGACGGGGUUUUACCAUGUUAGCCAGGAUGGUCUCGAUCUCCUGCCCUCGUGAUCCACCCGCCUCGGCCUCCCGAAGUGCUGGGAUUACAGGUGUGAACUACCGCGCCCAGCCAAAGUUCACUAGGUUUUUUAAAUGUCUUUUUUCUGCUCCGGGAUAAUGCAGGAUUCCACACGGCAUUUAGUUGUCAUUUCUGCUUAGUCUUCUCCAAUCUGUGACAGUUCCUCAGCCUUUCCUUGUCUUUUGUGACAUUGAUACUUUUCAAGAGUACUAGUCUACUGUUUUGUAGAAUGUUUCUCACUUUGGGUUUUCUAUGAUUAUAUUGAGGUAAUGCAUGUUGACAGGAAUAGGAAAUAGCACAGAAGUGAUCUUGUGCCCUUCAUAGUGCAUCCUACCAGGAGGUGUGUGGUAUUGAUUUGUCUUGUUACCUGUGAUACCAGCCUUAUUACUUGGUUCAGGUGAAGUCUACCAGAUACCUCCAUGUUAGAUGAAGUGCUAACCUCUUUCCCCUUGUCUGUCCUCUGGUUCAUUCACAGCAGACAGCUCUCUCUCAGCUUUGCAGGGAAAGAAGCCAGCAGAUGGCAUUGACUCUGCUUCUCUAUCCCCCUUCUGCCACCGUGGUAGCAGAGCUACCCUUUCCUGGGCUGAGGCCAGCCUCUCCCUGGGGCCAGGAACAGCUACAUAAUUUGAGAGGCCCAGUGUAAAAUGAAAAUGUGGGGCCCCUUGUUCAAAAAAUAUUACAAAUUUCAAGGUGGUGACAUAGAGCAUAAAACGAAAGGUGGGGCCCCUCUGAAGAUGGGGCCUGUGUGACUGCUCGGCUGUGGGUCUAGACCGACCUGGGCUUUGGAGCCCUUCCCUUCCACCUCCUCAGCAGCUUCCUGGAAGCCUCUGUCCUCUUGUUGGUUCUGUCUGCCUCUCACAGUCAUCCAUCUUAUCCCAUUGGGUUUUAAAUAUGCCCAAAUGUCUCCAAUUGAGAAAUGCUUCCAUUUCCUCCCUUCUGCUCUGCCACAGUGUCCUUGGGUCUGUAAAGGUUCUCACCGAGGGCCCCAGUGACCUCACAUUGCUUUAUUUCAUGCCCAUUUUUCAGAACCCCUUUCUUGCCACUGCUGCCCACUUUUGCCCCUGGAAAUGGCUGGAGCCUUGUUUCCCAGGACGUCAUUCUCUCUGGGUUUUUGUCUUGCCUCUGGCUACUCCCUCUGGUUUUAUUUGAUCAUUAUUCCAUAGUUUUUAUUUAUUAUUCUGCUUUAACUCUAUUUGGAGAAAAAUUUUAGUCUUUUUUUCAUUCUAAAUAUUUUUCUGAAAAUGGUAGAAUAGUACAUUUUGCCUUUAGAAUCUUCACCUUUCUUUCAACCAGUACCCUCUUCUUGUUUAGGUCAAAGGGUACAAAGAUGCAGUUAUUUUGGGUGAGUAAGUCUCAAGAUCUAAUGUACACCAUAAGGAGUGCAGUAUCAUAUUGUGCACUGGGAGUAGAUUUAGGAAUUCUCAGCACACACAGAAUAAAGGACGGUAACUGUGUGAGAUGCUGGACAUGUAAUUUACUUGACUGUAGUAAUCACUUCACUAUGUGUGUGUAGAUCAGAGCAUCAUGCUGUACACCUUAUACAAUAAAUCCCUCUCCCCAAAUCAAAAAA
RNAcentral lists this small RNA (2147 nucleotides) under Pan troglodytes (chimpanzee). RNAcentral's name for it is "processed transcript". Lineage: Eukaryota; Metazoa; Chordata; Mammalia; Primates; Hominidae. The record is from RNAcentral.